RNAcentral lists this unclassified non-coding RNA (372 nucleotides) under uncultured Flavobacteriaceae bacterium. RNAcentral describes it as "contains 16S-23S intergenic spacer region". The record is from RNAcentral. Lineage: Bacteria; Pseudomonadati; Bacteroidota; Flavobacteriia; Flavobacteriales; Flavobacteriaceae.
UCACAGUUUGCACUGGCAGUCUUGUUAGAGUUCCCGACAUGACUCGCUGGCAACUAACAACAGGGGUUGCGCUCGUUAUAGGACUUAACCUGACACCUCACGGCACGAGCUGACGACAACCAUGCAGCACCUUGCAAUCUGCCCGAAGGAAAGUCUGUUUCCAGACCUGUCAGACUGCAUUUAAGCCCUGGUAAGGUUCCUCGCGUAUCAUCGAAUUAAACCACAUGCUCCACCGCUUGUGCGGGCCCCCGUCAAUUCCUUUGAGUUUCAUUCUUGCGAACGUACUCCCCAGGUGGGUUACUUAUCACUUUCGCUUAGCCACUCAGGAUUGCUCCCGAACAGCUAGUAACCAUCGUUUACGGCGUAGACUAC